UCCCUUAGAUGUUCUGGGCCGCACGCGCGCUACACUGAUGCAUUCAACAAGCCUAGCCUUGACCGAGAGGUCCGGGUAAUCUUUGAAACUGCAUCGUGAUGGGGCUAGAUUAUUGCAAUUAUUAAUCUUCAACGAGGAAUGCCUAGUAAGCGUGAUUCAUCAAAUCGCGUUGAUUACGUCCCUGCCCUUUGUACACACCGCCCGUCGCUCCUACCGAUUGAAUGUGUUGGUGAGGAGCUCGGAUUGGCAGCAGUUGGUGGUUCGCCACCGGCUAUUGCUGAGAAGUCCUCCAAACCGCCCCAUUUAGAGGAAGGAGAAGUCGUAACA
This 327-nucleotide ribosomal RNA is filed under the name uncultured eukaryote. Its description in RNAcentral is "partial 18S ribosomal RNA". It matches the Rfam family "Eukaryotic small subunit ribosomal RNA", at positions 1469 to 1796 of the family's 1831-position model. The record is from RNAcentral.